UUUAUACAUUUAAAUAUAAUUUAAAGGACGCGGUAUCUUGACCGUGGUAAUGUAGCAUAAUCACUCGCCAUUUAAUUGAUGGAUAGUAUGAAUGGUUGAACGAAUAUAACACUGUCUCAAGUAGAAAAUAUAUAAAACUGGAAUAAUAGUAAAGAUACUAUUUAAAAUCGUAAGACGAAAAGACCCUAUAGAGCUUAACUAUUAUCUUUUAUAAAAUCACGUAAAUUUAUUUAUAAUAUUAGAAGAUAGGUAGUUUAGUUGGGGCGACUACUUUCUAUAAACAAACGAAAGUAAGCAAAAUUAAUAAAAUAAUUAACUGUAUAAACCUUAACUUUAACAGUUACUAAAGUAGGCUAUAAUGACCCGUUUUACUUAAAGAAUAAAGAAAACGAUCAAUAAAUAAAAGCUACCUUAGGGAUAACAGGAUAAUUUUAUUUUAGAGAUCUAAUCGAAGAUA
This 457-nucleotide ribosomal RNA is filed under the name Stauridiosarsia reesi. RNAcentral describes it as "Dipurena reesi partial 16S ribosomal RNA". It matches the Rfam family "Bacterial large subunit ribosomal RNA", at positions 1904 to 2513 of the family's 2925-position model. The record is from RNAcentral. Lineage: Eukaryota; Metazoa; Cnidaria; Hydrozoa; Anthoathecata; Corynidae.